This 303-nucleotide ribosomal RNA is filed under the name uncultured bacterium. RNAcentral describes it as "partial 16S ribosomal RNA". It matches the Rfam family "Bacterial small subunit ribosomal RNA", at positions 507 to 808 of the family's 1533-position model. The record is from RNAcentral.
AGCAGUCGCCGCGGUAAUACAGAGGGUGCGAGCGUUAAUCGGAUUUACUGGGCGUAAAGCGUGCGUAGGCGGCUUCUUAAGUCGGAUGUGAAAUCCCUGAGCUUAACUUAGGAAUUGCAUUCGAUACUGGGAAGCUAGAGUAUGGGAGAGGAUGGUAGAAUUCCAGGUGUAGCGGUGAAAUGCGUAGAGAUCUGGAGGAAUACCGAUGGCGAAGGCAGCCAUCUGGCCUAAUACUGACGCUGAGGUACGAAAGCAUGGGGAGCAAACAGGAUUAGAUACCCCUUAGUCCCUGUCUCUUAUACA